RNAcentral lists this ribosomal RNA (484 nucleotides) under uncultured bacterium. RNAcentral's name for it is "partial 16S ribosomal RNA". It matches the Rfam family "Bacterial small subunit ribosomal RNA", at positions 30 to 507 of the family's 1533-position model. The record is from RNAcentral.
AUUGAACGCUGGCGGCAGGCCUAACACAUGCAAGUCGAACGGCUGCAGGGGGCUUGGCCCCGGAUUCCGCGGCGGACGGGUGUGUGAUGCACAUGAAUCUGCGUGGUAUUGUGGGGUAACGUCCGGCGACGGCCGCUAAUAUCCCACACAUCCUGAGCGAGUAAGUGGGGGGUAUUCGCACCUCACGCUAUAAGAUGAUGCUAGGUCGGAUUAGCUAGUUGGUGGGGUAAAGGCCUACCAAGGCGACGAUCUGUAACUGGUCUGAGAGGAUGAUCAGUCACACUGGAACUGAGACACGGCCCAGACUCCUACGGGAGGCAGCAUUGGGGAAUUUUGGACAAUGGGCGAAAGCCUGAUCCAGCAAUGCCGCGUGUGUGAAGAAGGCCUUCGGAUUGUAAAGCACUUUAGUCUGGGAAGAAGUGCAGUAAGUUAAUACCGUGCUGGUUUGACGGUACCAAAAGAAUAAGCACCGGCUAACUUCGUG